UAGCCCACAGGGCACCUAGAUACUUGGGUAAACAUUAUCCUGAAAGCGUCUGUGUGAGUGUCUCUGGAUAAGGUUAACAUUUGCAUCAAAAGACCAAGUGUUGGAGCAUGUGUAGCUCAGUGGUAGAGUGCAUGCUUAGCGUACAUGAGUCCUGGGUUCAAUCCUCAGUAUACUCAUUAAAAAAAAGAAAGAAAGAGAGAAAAAUAUUUUUUAAAAAGACCAGGUAAAGCAGAUGGUCAUCCCCAGUGUGGGUGUCCUCUGGAGGCCUGAAUGAAACAGAAAAUGGGACAAGAGAGAAUUUGCUCUCUGCCUUUUUGCUUUCAAGCUGAGACACUGGUCUUCUCCUGCUCCCAGACUGGAAUCAUCUUGGAAUGGAACCAUACCAUGGGCUUUCCUGUGUCUCCAGCUUCUCGAUGAUGGAUCUCGGGACCGUCUCAGCCUCCAUAAUCACGAAAACAGAUGUGGGGCGUGAGGAGGGCCAUGCCCCAGGUCUUGGUUGAGCCCCUGGGACAUGCCUGGCCAGGUGUGGGUCCUUGGCUUUCUGCAUGAAAGAAUUCAAGUGCGAGCCACCGUUGAGUAAAGUCUUAUUCACAGGUGAGGAAACCAAAGGUUUAGGAAAAGAGAAAUAACUUGCCAGAAUCACUCAGCUAAAGGGGAUCGAAGCAGAUGGUGAAUUCGUGAGCAGGUAGGGGAUUUUUUGUUUCUUGAAUCAAUGACCUGAAAGCUGGUCUGUCUGUAUAGG
Camelus dromedarius (Arabian camel) is the source of this 742-nucleotide long non-coding RNA. RefSeq lists it as uncharacterized. The transcript is spliced from 3 exons. NCBI's taxonomy places the organism in Eukaryota, Metazoa, Chordata, Mammalia, Artiodactyla, Camelidae. The record is from RefSeq and is a predicted model, not a curated record.